This 83-nucleotide non-coding RNA is filed under the name Lotharella globosa. Lineage: Eukaryota; Cercozoa; Chlorarachniophyceae. The record is from RNAcentral.
UACCCCAGUCCAGAGAGACCACGUCAAAAACGGCUCUCCAGUCAAUAAAAUCAAAGACCAGCGAAUCGUUUUUUUGUUUUUUG